RNAcentral lists this ribosomal RNA (376 nucleotides) under uncultured bacterium. Its description in RNAcentral is "bacterial SSU rRNA". It matches the Rfam family "Bacterial small subunit ribosomal RNA", at positions 524 to 898 of the family's 1533-position model. The record is from RNAcentral.
UACGUAGGUGGCGAGCGUUAUCCGGAAUUACUGGGCGUAAAGCGCAAGCAGGCGGUCUGUUAAGUUUGGCGUAAAAUCUCCUGGCUUAACUGGGAGGGGUCGUUGGAGACUGGCAGACUUGAGGCGAUGAGAGGGGCAUGGAAUUCCCGGUGUAGUGGUGGAAUGCGUAGAGAUCGGGAGGAACACCAGAGGCGAAAGCGGUGCCCUGGCAUUGGCCUGACGCUGAGAUGCGAAAGCGUGGGGAGCGAACGGGAUUAGAUACCCCGGUAGUCCACGCCGUAAACGAUGAGUACUGGGUGUAGGUGGGGUUAGAGCCAUCUGUGCCGAAGCAAACGCGUUAAGUACUCCGCCUGGGGAGUACGGCCGCAAGGCUAAA